RNAcentral lists this ribosomal RNA (1804 nucleotides) under Crasiella sp. JP-2011. Its description in RNAcentral is "SSU rRNA". It matches the Rfam family "Eukaryotic small subunit ribosomal RNA". The record is from RNAcentral. Lineage: Eukaryota; Metazoa; Gastrotricha; Macrodasyida; Planodasyidae.
CUGCCAGUAGUCAUAUGCUGUCUCAAAGAUUAAGCCAUGCAUGUCUCAGUACAUACCCUCGAAUGGUGAAACCGCGAAUGGCUCAUCAAAAAGUUAUCGUUCCUUAGAUCGUGUCCUACUUGGAUAACUUCUGACAACCCAGAGCUAAUACAUGCACCAAAGCUCUGACCUUGCGGGAAGAGCGCACUUAUUAGACCAAGACCAACCGGGUUUCGGCCCGUACGUUUGUCGAAUCUGGAUAAUUUUGCUGAUCGCACGGCCUUGUGCCGGCGACAUAUCUUUCAAGUGUCUGCCCUAUCAACUGUCGAUGGUACGUGAUAUGCCUACCAUGGUUGUAACGGGUAACGGGGAAUCAGGGUUUGAUUCCGGAGAGGGAGCAUGAGAAACGGCUACCACAUCCAAGGAAGGCAGCAGGCGCGCAAAUUACCCACUCCCGGCACGGGGAGGUAGUGACGAAAAAUAACGAUACGGGACUCGUUCGAGGCCCCGUAAUUGGAAUGAGUACACUUUAAAUCCUUUAACGAGGAUCAAUUGGAGGGCAAGUCUGGUGCCAGCAGCCGCGGUAAUUCCAGCUCCAAUAGCGUAUACUAAAGUUGUUGCGGUUAAAAAGCUCGUAGUUGGAUCUCGGGCUCGGGCGGAUGGUCCACUGAGUUGUGGCUACUAUUCGUGCGGCCUAUCUGCCGGUUUGCGUCUUAUGCUCUUCACUGAGUGUCUGACGUUGCCGGCUCGUUUACUUUGAAAAAAUUAGAGUGCUCAAAGCAGGCGCAUCGCCUGAAUAUUCGUGCAUGGAAUAAUGGAAUAGGACCUCGGUUCUAUUUUGUUGGUUUUCGGAAUUUGAGGUAAUGAUUAAGAGGGACAGACGGGGGCAUUCGUAUUGCACCGUUAGAGGUGAAAUUCUUGGAUCGGUGCAAGACGAACAACUGCGAAAGCAUUUGCCAAGAAUGUCUUCGUUAAUCAAGAACGAAAGUCAGAGGUUCGAAGGCGAUCAGAUACCGCCCUAGUUCUGACCAUAAACGAUGCCAACUAGCGAUCCGGCGCAGUUACUUCAAUGACUCGCCGGGCAGCUUCCGGGAAACCAAAGUUUUUGGGUUCCGGGGGAAGUAUGGUUGCAAAGCUGAAACUUAAAGGAAUUGACGGAAGGGCACCACCAGGAGUGGAGCCUGCGGCUUAAUUUGACUCAACACGGGAAAUCUCACCCGGCCCGGACACUGUAAGGAUUGACAGAUUGAGAGCUCUUUCUUGAUUCGGUGGGUGGUGGUGCAUGGCCGCUUUUAGUUGGUGGAGCGAUUUGUCUGGUUAAUUCCGAUAACGAACCGAGACUCUAGCCUGCUAAAUAGUUCGUCCGUCUAUUCAGCGGAUGCUAACUUCUUAGAGGGACCAGUGGCGUCCCAGUCACACGAGAUUGAGCAACAGCAGGUCUGUGAUGCCCUUAGAUGUUCGGGGCCGCACGCGCGCUACACUGAAGGAAUCAACUUGUUUCUACCUUGCCCGGAAGGGCCGGGUAAUCCGUUGAAACUCCUUCGUGCUUGGGAUUGGGGCUUGAAAUUCUUCCCCAUGAACGAGGAAUUCCCAGUAAGCGCGAGUCAUAAGCUCGUGCGGAACGCGUCCCUGCCCUUUGUACACACCGCCCGUCGCUACGACCGAGCUGGCUGUUGGGUAGAAGCCGCAGGAUUUCGCCUUGUCUAUGGGCAACUAUCGUCGGGGAUCGGGAGAAUGUGGCUAAUAUCCAGCGAUCGGAGAUCGUAAAAGUCGUAACAAGGUUUCCGUAGGUGAACCUGCCGGAAGGAUCAACAAGCUAUUCUUG